This 2124-nucleotide long non-coding RNA is filed under the name Macaca mulatta (Rhesus monkey). RNAcentral's name for it is "lncRNA (ENSMMUG00000064095.1)". Lineage: Eukaryota; Metazoa; Chordata; Mammalia; Primates; Cercopithecidae. The record is from RNAcentral.
AUGAAAGGUGACUCUGAAAGAAUGAAAAACAGUUACAACAGAACUGGCAUAAUGGGAGGGUUAAGGUUAGGAUCCUUGUGUGUGUUGAUUUCCACAGCUGGCACAAUCGUAAUAGAAUGUUUUCAUCCUUCACGCCACAGAAAGAGCAGAGCUCAAGCCUCUUUGCUCUGGGUAUGCAGCUUCAAAGAAGUGUUGCAAGCCUUCAUAAUCAUGAUUUCAAAGAGUCUAAGAAGAACUUGGAAGAAGUGAGGAAAGCCCUUGACUCCCCCAGCCACCAAUUUCACUCAUUAGUGGUCUUCAUGUCUCAUGACCUCUAGUUAAGAAAAUAAACAUCCCUGUGGUAGUCCAAUAAAUUGCCUUCAGAAAAAAAACAGCUUGAUCUCCUUUUUGUCAACUCCUGCCUCUUUCAGAAUUACAGCAAGAAAGAAAAAAUUUGCAAUGUGUGCGCCUUCUACGUGUUAAGUUACUGAAUCUUCAAAACCAUCUUCUAAAUGGGCAUGAUCGUUAUCCCCAUUUAGCCUCUGAGAAAAUUGAGGCCAGAAGUCACCAAAAGCCACACAACUAGAGAGUGACAGAGCUAAGAUUGGCAUCCAAGUGACACUGAAACACAGCUCUCUCUGACCACCUUCACUGCUUGUACUUAUCCUCACAGCAGAUCCAGCCUGCACGCAGUAGCUACUCUAUGAAAAAGAACUUUGGACCCACUUUCACAUUGUCUUACAUUUUCUGCAUCUAAUACCUUCAUAAAAAUGAUUGAUCAGAGCUCCAGCAAAACUGACGUUAAGUCUCCAAUCAGAGAAAGGUCACUGUGGAACAUUGAUGUUGCACUGUUUGCAACAGUGCAAUAUUCAGUAGAUCUUGUAAUUGCAGAGUGAUGGUGACAUCAGCCAUUAGGAAAAUAUAGCAGGGUAAAUGAAUAUUUAUAUGAACAUUGAUGGGGGAUAUGGGAAGAGCCACUAAUUUGACUGCAUGGUCAGGGAGGGAUUCUGAUGAGGGUGCCUUUGAGUGACAUUCUGAUGAGGGGGCAUUCUGCGGUGGUGGGGAGUGGAUGAUGUGUUUGAAGAACAAGUGGCCCAAGCUGGGCGUGGUGGCUCAUGUCUGUAAUCCCAGCUCUUUGGGAGACCAAGGUGGGUGAAUCACUUGAGGUCAGGAGUUAGAUACCAGCCUGGCCAACAUGGUGAAACCCCACCUCCACUGAAAAUACAAAAACUAGUUGGGCAUGGUGGCAGGCACCUGUAAUCCCAGCUACUCGGGAGGCUGAGGCAGGAGAAUCGCUUAAACCCAGGAGGUGGAGGUUGCAAUGAGCUGAGAUCACGCCACUGCACUCUAGCUUGGGUGACAGAAUGAGGCUCCAUCUCAAAAAAAAAAACAAAAUAAAACCAAAACAAGUGGCCCCAAGUAUCUCUGAUGAUGUUCAUGUGGUCUGGUGUUGCACUGAUAAUUUUAGGUAUUCAAAGGUUAGUCCCUGUGGUCUAAGGUUGCAUUGAUAAUCUUCAGUAUUUGAAGUUCAAAGUUCUCUAUCUGUAGCAUUAAUGACCAGAAAUCUGCAUUCCUUCAUCCCAUAGUUUACCUGGUGUCAAAAACAUCUCCACUGAGUCUCAUUUUGAUGCCAUGCCUUUGGUUUUUAUUACAGGAUGUAUGAAAAAUGUUUCUGUACUCUCAGUGAGGCUUUGUGGAAUACAAAGCCCUCUACUUACUUACUUACUAAAGUAAGUAGUAAAGAGCACACACCUAUCAUGUUUCUCCCUUUUUGCCUUGAUUCCUAGGAAGCUCAAGGUUAAAUUGAAUGUUCAAUUAAAACAAAAAAGUUAACGUUAGCCUUCAAGGCUUUUGAGCAUUUCUAAUACUUAAUCGUGAAUCUGCUUUUCAUUGCAAGGAGUCUCUAGUUCUCCUGGACUGGUGAAUAAAUAACACAUGUACAUAAAAUCAUGUGUGCCAAGAAUAUAAGAAGUGAUGAUCUGCCUAAAAAUACACUUUUGUUUCUAUCAUUAGAUGCUCUGGAUAAGCCAUUAUUUAUUACUCCAUUUACAUGGAGGCCAACCGUGUGACCAGAUUGGAUCAAAAAAAGAGAAAGAAAUAUUGCUAUAGACAAAUACACUAAUGUCUCCCCCCCAAUGAAUCACA